Molecule: ribosomal RNA, 253 nt
Filed under: uncultured bacterium
Lineage: Bacteria
Description: partial 16S ribosomal RNA
Rfam family: Bacterial small subunit ribosomal RNA
Source: RNAcentral
UACGGAGGGAGCUAGCGUUGUUCGGAAUUACUGGGCGUAAAGCGCACGUAGGUGGCUUUGUAAGUUAGAGGUGAAAGCCCGGGGCUCAACCCCGGAAUUGCCUUUAAGACUGCAUCGCUUGAAUCCGGGAGAGGUGAGUGGAAUUCCGAGUGUAGAGGUGAAAUUCGUAGAUAUUCGGAAGAACACCAGUGGCGAAGGCGGCUCACUGGACCGGCAUUGACGCUGAGGUGCGAAAGCGUGGGGAGCAAACAGG